This 1021-nucleotide long non-coding RNA is filed under the name Equus asinus (donkey). RNAcentral describes it as "lncRNA (ENSEASG00005038342.1)". The record is from RNAcentral. Lineage: Eukaryota; Metazoa; Chordata; Mammalia; Perissodactyla; Equidae.
GCUUGAAGUUCUCCUAGAGCCACACAGUGGAAAUUGUCUGGCAGUUCUGCCUCGUAGCUAAGCUGACGAUGAAGGUGACAGCUGAGCACCUCCCCUGGAUGACCUGGAGCCCGAUGUGCUAGAUGGAUGGAAAACAAAUAUUUUCCUUUGCCUCCUGGUGGUUAAGCCCUCCUUGCUGGUGAGGACAGGAAGACUGCUGUUUGGUGGCUAAAACGUGUGUUCAACAGUUUAUUCAACAGCCCUUUAUCCAGCUCCCUCACAUACCAGGCAUUAUUCUAGUUCUGGAGGCUGAGAAGUCCAAGACCAUGGCUCUGGAAGAUCCGUUGUCUGAUGCAAGUGGUGCCAAAAUUAAGAAAUUACUUUUGAUCAAAGAUCAAAUUGAGGGCACUCCCGGGAAUACAGUGGUCUAAAGGUGAAGCAAAGGAUGUGACUGUCAAAACUUCUGUUAAGAUCUCAGAAAAAUCAAAGGUCACACAAAGGGCCUUUACAGAGAUUAAUGGUGGCUCUCAUCAGAUCCUCUCAACAAGACAAUAGUGCUUCUAAGAAGCUUAAGGGCAUUGUGUCUCAGCUGUCCUAGCCAAGGCUCAAGGGCGAAAAGAGCUUAUUUCAGGAUGUGUGUGUGUGUGGCUUUUAUCUAAUGGAGUGAACCCCAAGAUGUUUCACAGGAGACCCACAAAAUUCUUAAAAGAGUUAUAAAUCCAGAAACAUCACCAAUUUGGACUCAGGAGGAUAGAGAGAGUGUGGAAAAUGGAGAGGCUUUUGGACCCCAGAAUUAUACUGGAAGGAAGGAGACUGUGAGAGCUGCUUAGCUGUAAACACACGCUACCUUUCGCAACAAAAGGAAGGACGACUCAGAGGUUGGAAUAAAGAACUGAGAAGGUGGAGUUGAGAGUCAGGGAAAAUUGUUCCCAGGCCUCGAAAUCUAAUCAAGGAGCGUCCAACAUUUGUCCAGCUGGAUUUCAGAACUGCCACGGACCAGUGACUCCUUCGUGUAUCCAUUUCUUCCCUUUUUGACAGGAAU